RNAcentral lists this ribosomal RNA (465 nucleotides) under Vreelandella stevensii. RNAcentral describes it as "partial 16S ribosomal RNA". It matches the Rfam family "Bacterial small subunit ribosomal RNA", at positions 338 to 795 of the family's 1533-position model. The record is from RNAcentral. Lineage: Bacteria; Pseudomonadati; Pseudomonadota; Gammaproteobacteria; Oceanospirillales; Halomonadaceae.
CCUACGGGGGGCAGCAGUGGGGAAUAUUGGACAAUGGGGGGAACCCUGAUCCAGCCAUGCCGCGUGUGUGAAGAAGGCCCUCGGGUUGUAAAGCACUUUCAGUGAGGAAGAACGCCUGGUGGUUAAUACCCAUCAGGAAAGACAUCACUCACAGAAGAAGCACCGGCUAACUCCGUGCCAGCAGCCGCGGUAAUACGGAGGGUGCGAGCGUUAAUCGGAAUUACUGGGCGUAAAGCGCGCGUAGGUGGCUUGAUAAGCCGGUUGUGAAAGCCCCGGGCUCAACCUGGGAACGGCAUCCGGACCUGUCAAGCUAGAGUGCAGGAGAGGAAGGUAGAAUUCCCGGUGUAGCGGUGAAAUGCGUAGAGAUCGGGAGGAAUACCAGUGGCGAAGGCGGCCUUCUGGACUGACACUGACACUGAGGUGCGAAAGCGUGGGUAGCAAACAGGAUUAGAUACCCUAGUAGUC